This 72-nucleotide transfer RNA is filed under the name Ictidomys tridecemlineatus (thirteen-lined ground squirrel). Its description in RNAcentral is "Spermophilus tridecemlineatus (thirteen-lined ground squirrel) tRNA". It matches the Rfam family "tRNA". Rfam says of the family: Transfer RNA (tRNA) molecules are approximately 80 nucleotides in length. Lineage: Eukaryota; Metazoa; Chordata; Mammalia; Rodentia; Sciuridae. The record is from Rfam by way of RNAcentral.
GGGGGUGUGGCUCAAUGGUAGAGCACUCACCUAGCACGUGCAAGGCCCUGGGUUCAAUCCUCAGCACCACAU